UACGUAGGGUGCAAGCGUUUAUCGGAAUUACUGGGCGUAAAGCGUGCGCAGGCGGUUGGGCAAGACAGAUGUGAAAUCCCCGGGCUCAACCUGGGAACUGCAUUUGUGACUGCACGGCUAGAGUGUGUCAGAGGGGGGUAGAAUUCCACGUGUAGCAGUGAAAUGCGUAGAUAUGUGGAGGAAUACCGAUGGCGAAGGCAGCCCCCUGGGAUAACACUGACGCUCAUGCACGAAAGCGUGGGGAGCAAACAGG
RNAcentral lists this ribosomal RNA (253 nucleotides) under uncultured bacterium. RNAcentral describes it as "partial 16S ribosomal RNA". It matches the Rfam family "Bacterial small subunit ribosomal RNA", at positions 524 to 776 of the family's 1533-position model. The record is from RNAcentral.